Molecule: ribosomal RNA, 492 nt
Filed under: uncultured bacterium
Lineage: Bacteria
Description: partial 16S ribosomal RNA
Rfam family: Bacterial small subunit ribosomal RNA
Source: RNAcentral
AGUGAACGCUGGCGGUAGGCCUAACACAUGCAAGUCGAACGGCAGCACAGUAAGAGCUUGCUCUUACGGGUGGCGAGUGGCGGACGGGUAAGGAAUACAUCGGAAUCUACUUUUUCGUGGGGGAUAACGUAGGGAAACUUACGCUAAUACCGCAUACGACCUACGGGUGAAAGCAGGGGAUCUUCGGACCUUGCGCGAUUGAAUGAGCCGAUGUCGGAUUAGCUAGUUGGCGGGGUAAAGGCCCACCAAGGCGACGAUCCGUAGCUGGUCUGAGAGGAUGAGCGGCCACAGGGAAACUGGAACAGGGACCAGCCUCCGACGGAUGCAGGCGGAGGGAAAUGUGGGACAAGGGGCGCGAGCCUGAUCCCGCCUUAGCGGGGGGGGGAAAGGGGCCUUGGGUUUGUAAGGCUGUUUUUUGGGGAAAAAAGAGCAGGGGGUUACUACCCGGGGUUUUUGACGUUACCAAAAGAAAAAGCGCCGGCUAACUUCGUG